CCUACGGGUGGCAGCAGUGGGGAAUAUUGGACAAUGGGGGGAACCCUGAUCCAGCCAUGCCGCGUGUGUGAAGAAGGCCCUCGGGUUGUAAAGCACUUUCAGUGAGGAAGAACGCCUGGUGGUUAAUACCCAUCAGGAAAGACAUCACUCACAGAAGAAGCACCGGCUAACUCCGUGCCAGCAGCCGCGGUAAUACGGAGGGUGCGAGCGUUAAUCGGAAUUACUGGGCGUAAAGCGCGCGUAGGUGGCUUGAUAAGCCGGUUGUGAAAGCCCCGGGCUCAACCUGGGAACGGCAUCCGGAACUGUCAAGCUAGAGUGCAGGAGAGGAAGGUAGAAUUCCCGGUGUAGCGGUGAAAUGCGUAGAGAUCGGGAGGAAUACCAGUGGCGAAGGCGGCCUUCUGGACUGACACUGACACUGAGGUGCGAAAGCGUGGGUAGCAAACCGGAUUAGAUACCCGAGUAGUC
RNAcentral lists this ribosomal RNA (465 nucleotides) under Vreelandella stevensii. RNAcentral's name for it is "partial 16S ribosomal RNA". It matches the Rfam family "Bacterial small subunit ribosomal RNA", at positions 338 to 795 of the family's 1533-position model. Lineage: Bacteria; Pseudomonadati; Pseudomonadota; Gammaproteobacteria; Oceanospirillales; Halomonadaceae. The record is from RNAcentral.